RNAcentral lists this unclassified non-coding RNA (200 nucleotides) under Cutaneotrichosporon sp. RNAcentral's name for it is "partial internal transcribed spacer 2". The record is from RNAcentral. Lineage: Eukaryota; Fungi; Basidiomycota; Tremellomycetes; Trichosporonales; Trichosporonaceae.
UUAAGUUCAGCGGGUAGCCCUACCUGAUUUGAGACCAGAGUUCAAGAAUUGUCCGAAGACGAUUAGAAGCGUACUUCUCAAGCCGACACCAGCGAAACUUAUUACGCCAGAUAGACAAGUUAAACACGCUAACUCUUUUAAGGCGAGCCAGGGGACUGGCAACACCCAAUUCCAAGCCAUUAAGAAACCCUAAUGGUUGA